GCUGGUCGACAUCCACCCACGAAAGUAGACUUUUCAACGAUUUCCACGAUACUACGAUUCGAUGUCGAUCGGUCGAAACCGAGCAAACGCAGGGAAGCACGUUAUUGACUGGACUACUGAUCGACCUCGACUUUACCUGAAGUCGUACACCACGACGAGGACGAGGACGUGGAUGAGAUAAGCGUGCAACUCUCGAAGGAGGAGAGAACUGGCCUCUGUAGAGCGGCUACGAGACCAGGCGAGGAUCGAGUGAGUGAGGAUGGACUGACAGACGUGCGGGCGUACGCACGAGUCAAUGAAGUUGGCUCCUUUGGGAAUCUUCUCCGUUUGGAUCGGCCUAGCGCUUUCUUCCUCAUGGUUCUGAAGCUUCGUCUGUGUCAGCCAAGUUACUAUAUUCGAGUGACUGAGGGUUAACAACGUUGCUGGUUUGUGCUGAAACUAACACGUGCCGCCGGC
This 456-nucleotide unclassified non-coding RNA is filed under the name Bombus terrestris (buff-tailed bumblebee). Its description in RNAcentral is "misc RNA ENSBTSG00005028174.1". The record is from RNAcentral. Lineage: Eukaryota; Metazoa; Arthropoda; Insecta; Hymenoptera; Apidae.